UACGUAGGGCGCAAGCGUUGUCCGGAAUUAUUGGGCGUAAAGAGCUCGUAGGUGGUCUGUUGCGUCCGCUGUGAAAACCUAAGGCUUAACCUUGGGCCUGCAGUGGAUACGGGCAGACUAGAGGUAGGUAGGGGAGAAUGGAAUUCCCGGUGUAGCGGUGAAAUGCGCAGAUAUCGGGAGGAACACCGGUGGCGAAGGCGGUUCUCUGGGCCUUACCUGACACUGAGGAGCGAAAGCGUGGGGAGCGAACAGG
This 253-nucleotide ribosomal RNA is filed under the name uncultured bacterium. RNAcentral describes it as "partial 16S ribosomal RNA". It matches the Rfam family "Bacterial small subunit ribosomal RNA", at positions 524 to 776 of the family's 1533-position model. RNAcentral also lists the same sequence under 1 other name. The record is from RNAcentral.